GUGUGAAGACAACACAUGAUGAGAUGAUGGCCAUUUACUUCACCAGUGGAACAAGUGGACCUCCUAAAAUGACCGGACACACCCACAGCAGGUUUGGCUUAGGAUUAUCUGUAAACGGAAGGUUCUGGCUGGAUUUGACACAUUCAGAUGUGAUGUGGAAUAUCUCAGACACAGGUUGCGCAAAGUCUGCAUGGAGUAGUGUUUUUUUCUCCAUGGAUCCAGGGAGCAUGUGUAUUUGCACAUUAUCUGCUGGGUUUUGAGCCAACUUCCAUCUUGGAAACACUUUCUAAGUUUCCCAUCACAGUCUUCUGUUCAUCGCCAACUGCAUACCCAAUGCUUGUACAGAGUGAUAUGAACAGGU
Ceratotherium simum simum (southern white rhinoceros) is the source of this 361-nucleotide non-coding RNA. Lineage: Eukaryota; Metazoa; Chordata; Mammalia; Perissodactyla; Rhinocerotidae. The record is from RefSeq and is a predicted model, not a curated record.